CCGAAUGAAAAAGGCGGAACUCUGGAGUGAUUGCCCCAAGUCACAUCGCAGUUUCAGCGUCCCACCCCUUUCUGCUAAUAAUGGCGACCUCAGCCCCCGGAAGUAGCAGCAGAGAAGGAACGGCCAAAGCCAUGGUGGCCGAUCAGAUCUCUCAGGCUGUGCAGUCCACCUCCAAUCUCCUCCAUCUCAUGCAACAGUCUUCUCCUGCCCAGGCCCAACUCAUCAAGCUUCCUAAGAACCUUUUGGCAAAGGCCUCUGCAAUCAAGAAUACAGAACAGGUUUUAGACCAGAUGCCUGGGGUAAUUUCAACUCUUGAUGCCCAUAUGGAAAAUGGACUGCGAAGUGUUCCGCACUUGAAGACUGUUAUUCAGCUGCUUGCAAACAUGGAAAGCAGCCAGCUCAGUUCUCUCUCUCAAGCUCAUCCUCCCCAGAAGAUGGGAGCAUAGUUAAUAUUGACGGGAGAGUAAAAAAAUGAAAAACUAGAAGACAAUUUGUGAAGGCAAUUUCACCCGAAUCUUGUCAUGAAAAGAACGUGACCCGGCAAACCGACCUAGAGGGAUGGAAUAAUGGAAAAAACGCUCCAGGUUUUAUGGCCAUCUCAUUGGGAGUCUCACCCUUGAUCAUCCAAGUUUUUUUUUUCUUUGGAAGAUUUGGAAGUUACACUCGGAUUAUUAAGCGCCGGCUAAUCGGCUACGUUCUAUCUUGAGGUCUUCCUGCAGAUCACAGUUUGGAGGAAAGAAUUUCCUAGCUUCUAAAGUUUAUGGUUGCUCAUGCUCAACUGAAGAAGCUGUCGGAUUCUAUAACCAUCACGUCCCCGAAUUACCAGUUCAGUUGUAGAUCAUGUCCGGAAGACUGAAUGAUUAGGCAGCUGAAAGAUGCAAGUGCAUAUAUGUACAUACGCGCAGACGUACAUGUGUAUUCUGCUUUUAUUUAUACUACAAGAUAAUGUCACAGAACUUUCCCCCCUUAUAAACUGCGUAACACAAAGAUGGGGGAAUGGCAAUUUGAGGCCGAUAUAUUUAUUUAAUUAUAAUUUGGGAUCAAACAUUUCAAAGUUCUAAUAAAGGAAAAGCUUCUCAGCAAGGAAUGUCAGAAGCUGGAAGAUCCGUUGCAAAUGA
Molecule: RNA transcript, 1118 nt
Organism: Prosopis cineraria
Lineage: Eukaryota; Viridiplantae; Streptophyta; Magnoliopsida; Fabales; Fabaceae
Gene name: tobamovirus multiplication protein 2B
Exons: 6
Source: RefSeq, a predicted model, not a curated record